Long non-coding RNA from Myotis davidii, 472 nucleotides. RefSeq lists it as uncharacterized. The record is from RefSeq and is a predicted model, not a curated record. NCBI's taxonomy places the organism in Eukaryota, Metazoa, Chordata, Mammalia, Chiroptera, Vespertilionidae. The transcript has 4 exons.
AAGGAGCGCCUGCGCUUCCAGUUCUUGGAGCAGAAAUACGGCUAUUACCACUGCAAGGACUGCAACAUCCGCUGGGAGAGCGCCUAUGUGUGGUGUGUGCAGGGCACCAACAAGGUUUACUUUAAGCAGUUCUGCAGGACUUGUCAGAAGUCGUACAACCCUUACCGAGUGGAGGCCAUCACCUGUCAAAGUUGUAAACAGACUAGAUGCUCCUGCUCAAUAAAACUUCGCCACAUUGACCCUAAACGGCCCCACCGGCAAGAUUUGUGUGGGAGGUGCAAAGGCAAACGCCUGUCCUGUGACAGCACGUUCAGCUUCAAAUAUAUCAUUUAAAUGAAUGUAAAAAACCCGUCCUUCCGACCGCGUGCUAGUGGAGCGGACAAGUGAGCUGUGUGGCCCUUCUCCUUUUUGCCUCCUCGUGCAAGGCUGUGUUUCUUGACAAAACCUUUAAAUAAAAAGAAUUGCAAAACAA